UAAAUUCUGCCUAUAGAUUUCCUUACAUUCGGCAAAAUCGAUAUGGUAUCUCAUAAUCGGGGACUUUCCUCUACAUAUGAUUGUCGUAUGAGUAAAAAUGUGAAAAGCUCGCAACGCAAAAUUCGAAUCGCUUGUACUUGAAUAAGAUUUUAGCUAAAAUGUUCUGGAUAUCGUGAAAUUGAGCAUUUAAAGAAUUAUCGCAUUUUAUAGAGUAUAGCGAUAAAUAGCAGAUUUGUUAAUAAGACUACGUUAUUAUUAUGCUUCUCUACCGUACAGAAUCCGCGAGAUUCCUUAAUGUUCAUCCAACGUCGACAGGAAGGCAAUUACAUUAUUAAACAUGCUAAGAAAUAGACGUAAUGGAAUGAAACAACGUGCAUCGCGCGUAAAAAUAUAACUAGGCAACUUCAGUUACCUGAUAAAAGUGGAAUCGGCGGCGGGGCUGGAGGGUCUCGGCGAGGAGCUCGCAGUGGACGCCGUGUUGGUCUCCUCCACGUCCAUCAUCGUUCAUACC
This is a long non-coding RNA of Ooceraea biroi (clonal raider ant), 511 nucleotides long. RefSeq lists it as uncharacterized. The record is from RefSeq and is a predicted model, not a curated record. Lineage: Eukaryota; Metazoa; Arthropoda; Insecta; Hymenoptera; Formicidae.